AUUUUAGUGCCUUCUUAUCAGGGAAGAUACAAUCAAGCAGAGCCCAAGACCCGUUCUGCAGUUGGACAAGGAAACUUCCAGAGCCAUCCCCAACCUGGAGAAAGAGGAUUUUUGAAGAAGAUAAUUACUGAGUUUUCAGUAGAUGGAGUUUUUGAACAAGCAGAGCCUAAGACCCAUUCUGCAGUGGGACGAGGAAACUUCCAGGGCCAUCCGCAACCUAGAGAAAGGGGAAAUUUUGGAAGAAGCUAAAUGCGAGUUUUCAGUAGAUAGAGCUUUUGAACAAGCAGAACCUGAGACUCGUGCUGCAGUCGGACAAGGAAACUUCCAGAGCCAUCCCCAACCUAAGACCCAUUCUGCAGUGGGACGAGGAAACAUCCACAUCCCCAACCAUGACAAAGAGGAUAUUUGCAAGAAGCUAGU
Molecule: long non-coding RNA, 420 nt
Filed under: Salvia miltiorrhiza (redroot sage)
Lineage: Eukaryota; Viridiplantae; Streptophyta; Magnoliopsida; Lamiales; Lamiaceae
Description: long non-coding RNA (SMIL_LNC005916)
Source: RNAcentral